RNAcentral lists this ribosomal RNA (253 nucleotides) under uncultured bacterium. Its description in RNAcentral is "partial 16S ribosomal RNA". It matches the Rfam family "Bacterial small subunit ribosomal RNA", at positions 524 to 776 of the family's 1533-position model. The record is from RNAcentral.
GACGUAGGAUGCGAGCGUUGUCCGGAUUUAUUGGGCGUAAAGAGUUCGUAGGUGGUUCGUUAAGUCUGAUGUUAAAGACUGGGGCUCAACCCUGGGAGUGCAUUGGAUACUGGCGGGCCGGAGUGCAGUAGAGGCAAGCGGAAUUCCAGGUGUAGCGGUGAAAUGCGUAGAUAUCGGGAGGAACACCAGUGGCGAAGGCGGCGACCUGGGCAGAUACUGACACUGAGGUGCGAAAGCGUGGGGAGCAAACAGG